CUCAAUUAGUCCAGACAGAGGCAGGAGAUAAAUCAGGGUCCCAUUAGGAAACCUGGAGGGGAAUUUAUGGCCCCGAGCGGCAGCGCUGGCUCGCUCCCUCCCCUGCCCAUCUGCAGCCUGCUCCGGAGCCGCGCGGGGACCGCGGGGCCCUCUCCCGGUGCCGGGGAUGCUCCGGGGAUGCUCCGGGGAUGCUCCGGGGAUGCUCCGGACCGGCUCAGCCCCGUCUUGACCGGCUGACCCAGAUCGGAGCCUUCUCCUUCCCUGGCAGCCUCAUCCUCCCUCCUUGCUCAGUCAUCCAUCGCUGGAUUCCUGCUCGGGGACGUUCGGGAGAAAGCCGGAGCCUUCCUGGAAAUCCGGGCUGGAAUUUCCCCGAUUCCGGCUGCUGGAGGCUUCAAUCGCUGCCGAGCUCCUCGGGGCGCUUCCCGACCCCGCUGUGCAAUCCAGGGGCGCUCCUGGGGGGUCGCGGAUCCCCCAGAGCAGCCGGGGAUGAGAGGAGGGGGCCAGGGAGGAGCUGGGUGGGAGAUCCGGGGCGGUCAGGGGGGUUCGGGGCGCUCACGGUCCCCGGGGAGGUUUUGGGCGCUGGCUCUGAGCUCUGCGAGCUGCAGCCCUGCCCCGGGCAGGAGCCGGAGCUGAUUUUAUCAAUCGCUGCCGCCGCCCUGGGCUCCUUCCAGCAGCGGAGUCUGCCAGCGACAAUUCCUGGAGCCCGGGAAGCGGCAGCUCCAUCCCCGCCCGAGGGCUCUGGGGGCAGCCCGGGGGCUCCCGGCCUCCCCCACAUCCCCGAGCCAGAAUUUCCCAGGGCUCAAAAAGGGAUUUUUUUGUCUUCCGGACAAAAUCCGCGUCCGGCGCUGGCCCCGUGAGCCGCUCCAAGGGCUGGAAAUGCCCCGCAUCUCCUCCCAAAAACACCCCAAAAGUGUGGCAGGAGCUGCUUUUCCCCAGGAGCCUCCCCGGGAAUGUUCGGGCGGGGCUCGGUCUCCCCAAAAUCACCGCUGGCUUUCCCAAG
RNAcentral lists this long non-coding RNA (1000 nucleotides) under Parus major (Great Tit). RNAcentral describes it as "lncRNA (ENSPMJG00000006805.1)". Lineage: Eukaryota; Metazoa; Chordata; Aves; Passeriformes; Paridae. The record is from RNAcentral.